This 253-nucleotide ribosomal RNA is filed under the name uncultured bacterium. RNAcentral's name for it is "partial 16S ribosomal RNA". It matches the Rfam family "Bacterial small subunit ribosomal RNA", at positions 524 to 776 of the family's 1533-position model. The record is from RNAcentral.
UACGAAGGGGGCUAGCGUUGUUCGGAAUCACUGGGCGUAAAGCGCACGUAGGCGGAUCCUUAAGUCAGGGGUGAAAUCCCGAGGCUCAACCUCGGAACUGCAUUUGAUACUGGGGAUCUUGAGUCCGGGAGAGGUGAGUGGAAUUGCGAGUGUAGAGGUGAAAUUCGUAGAUAUUCGCAAGAACACCAGUGGCGAAGGCGGCUCACUGGCACGGUACUGACGCUGAGGUGCGAAAGCGUGGGGGGCAAACAGG